RNAcentral lists this ribosomal RNA (602 nucleotides) under uncultured bacterium. RNAcentral's name for it is "bacterial SSU rRNA". It matches the Rfam family "Bacterial small subunit ribosomal RNA", at positions 35 to 634 of the family's 1533-position model. The record is from RNAcentral.
GUGUGCCGGUAGCUUACACAUGCAGUCGUGCGAGAAAGUAUCUUCGGAUAUGAGUAGAGCGGCGGACGGGUGAGUAACGCGUAGGAAUCUACCUAGUAGAAGGGGAUAGUCCGGGGAAACUCGGAUUAAUACCGUAUACCUCCUUUGGGAGAAAGAAGGCCUCUCUUUGAAGCUUUCGCUAUUAGAUGAGCCUGCGUAAGAUUAGCUUGUUGGUGAGGUAAAGGCUCACCAAGGCAACGAUCUUUAGCGGGUCUGAGAGGACGAUCCGCCACAUUGGGACUGAGACACGGCCCAGACUCCUACGGGAGGCAGCAGUGGGGAAUAUUGGACAAUGGGCGCAAGCCUGAUCCAGCCAUACCGCGUGUGUGAAGAAGGCCCUAGGGUUGUAAAGCACUUUAAGUUGGGAAGAAAAGUUAUUGGUUAAUACCCAAUAACCGUGACAUUACCAUCAGAAUAAGGACCGGCUAAUUCCGUGCCAGCAGCCGCGGUAAGACAGAGGAUGCAAGUGUUAUUCGGAUUGAUUGGGCGUAAAGCGUCUGUAGGCGGUUUAGAAAGUCUUUUGUGAAAUACUUCAGCUCAACUGGGGCUCCGCAAAAGAAACU